GAUGAACGCUGGCGGCGUGCCUAACACAUGCAAGUCGAGCGAGAAGGUUGCAAAUGAUUCUUCGGAAGAAUGCGCAACUGGAGAGCGGCGGACGGGUGAGUAACGCGUGGGUAACCUGCCCUAUGGAGGGGGAUAACUAAGAGAAAUCUUAGCUAAUACCGCAUAAGCGCACAGCAUCGCAUGAUGCCGUGUGAAAAACUCCGGUGCCAUAGGAUGGACCCGCGUCAGAUUAGCUAGUUGGUGAGGUAACGGCUCACCAAGGCGACGAUCUGUAGCCGACCUGAGAGGGUGAUCGGCCACAUUGGGACUGAGACACGGCCCAAACUCCUACGGGAGGCAGCAGUGGGGGAUAUUGCACAAUGGGCGAAAGCCUGAUGCAGCAACGCCGCGUGAAGGAAGACGGUUUUCGGAUUGUAAACUUCUAUCAGCAGGGAAGAAAAAAGACGGUACCUGACUAAGAAGCCCCGGCUAACUACGUG
RNAcentral lists this ribosomal RNA (479 nucleotides) under uncultured bacterium. Its description in RNAcentral is "bacterial SSU rRNA". It matches the Rfam family "Bacterial small subunit ribosomal RNA", at positions 28 to 507 of the family's 1533-position model. The record is from RNAcentral.